AAAGAAAGUAGUUAAACUCUACUAUUAAGGA
This 31-nucleotide transfer RNA is filed under the name Diadema setosum. RNAcentral's name for it is "partial tRNA-Lys". The record is from RNAcentral. Lineage: Eukaryota; Metazoa; Echinodermata; Echinoidea; Diadematoida; Diadematidae.